RNAcentral lists this long non-coding RNA (1362 nucleotides) under Homo sapiens (human). RNAcentral describes it as "HSALNT0053386". The record is from RNAcentral. Lineage: Eukaryota; Metazoa; Chordata; Mammalia; Primates; Hominidae.
GCUGUGGUGGGCUCCACCCAGUUCGAGCUUCCCAGCUGCUUUGUUUAUCUAAGCAAGCCUGGGCAAUGGUGGGCGCCCCUCCUCCAGCCUCGCUGCCGCCUUGCAGUUUGAUCUCAGACUGCUGUGCUAGCAAUCAGUGGGACUCCGUGGGCGUAGGACCCUCCGAGCCAGGUGUGGGAUAUAAUCUUGUGGUGCGCCAUUUUUUAAGCCUGUCGGAAAAGCGCAGUAUUGGGGUGGGAGUGACGCGAUUUUCUUGGAGCCGUCCGUCACCCCUUUCUUUGACUAGGAAAGGGAACUCCCUGACCCCUUGCGCUUCCCGAGUGAGGCAAUGCCUCGCCCUGCUUCGGCUGGCGCACGGUGGGCACACCCACUGACCUGCGCCCACUGUCUGGCACUCCCUAGUGAGAUGAACCCGUUACCUCAGAUGGAAAUGCAGAAAUCACCCGUCUUCUGAGUCGCUCACGCUGGGAGCUGUAGACCGGAGCUGUUCCUAUUUGGCCAUCUUGGCUCCUCAAAUAAGUUGUCUGUUUCUUUGAAAUCUCCCAAGGGGUUUGUGAAGGUACAUUUCAGAAGAUUUCGAAGUCCUGAGCGCUUAGCCGUGCAGGAACAAUGUUAUGAAGACCAGAAAUCUAAAAUAAAGGUGUUGGCAAGACCAUGUCCUCUCUGCAGCCUCUUGGGAAGAAUCCUUCCUUGCCUCCUCCUCUUCUGGUGGUUCUCAUUAUUCCUUGGCUUAUGGCAGAUGAUAUCUCUCUCCCUGCUGUGCUGCCCAGGCUUGGGGAAAAGGUAACACAGGACUGCCAGAAUUCCAGACUACUGAACGAUAAGGUAUGCAUUUAACAAUAAAUAUGAAAAUCAGAAUGAACUACAUCAGCAGUAACUCACCCAGCAUCUUAGAUGUCUGUGUUUACUCACUUCUGUUUACUUCUUAGGCACACUGCCCCAGUUAACACUUAAGAUAUCAGAAGAGAUACAUCUUUUUUUUUUCAUUGAUUCACUUAAGUAGCCCAAGGGAGCACUCAAGAAUUCUCAGAUUUUCUCAGCUCAUAGCCCCUUUCAUUACCCCCUCUCGACUGUCACAUCAGAAAAUCCAAACAGUAUAAAUGAGGGCAAUGAGACAGCCCUUGAGAAUUCACAUGCCCUUGCCCCAAAUAUCCACAUUGUUAUAAUGUCUUCACGGAGUUCUUAAGCACUUUCAGAAUUUUCCAUCUUCAAUAAUUAGUGCGUAAUAAGAAUAUCUGUAAACAUUUUAGAGAUGGGUAAUGUCUUUAUUUCACAGAUGAUGGGGACUUUAUUUUUGCCAACUCAAGUACACAGCUGACCUCAAUCAUCAGUCUCAUUUUUCAUUUGUCUCAAGACAUGAAA